UAGUGGUUCCGUCAGAACCCCGGGGGCCUCAUCCAUCUGUUUUACAUUCCUUCAGGGACAAAGGAAGAUGGAAGAUUAAACACCAUGACAGUACCCACAGAACACCGAAGCUCACUGCAUGUUUCCUCUUCACAGACCACAGACUCAGGCCCUUGCUUCUGUGCUGUGCAGCGUAGUGCUCCCCAAGCACCUGCAGCCCUGCAGCCUGUACUCAUACCCUCCGCGGGGCUCAGCCCGUCCUCCAGCCACAGUCACACCAUGACGCCGUUACCAGGAUCUUGUGUGGCGCAGAGAGUUAUUCAAGACCAGCCAGACAUAUCCGGUCAACUGGGACAGUCUGUCACCCUGAACUGUCAGUAUGCAACAAGCUGGAGCUAUAACUACCUGUUUUGGUACAAGCUGCUUCCCAAUGGAGAGAUGAUUUACCUUAU
RNAcentral lists this long non-coding RNA (431 nucleotides) under Capra hircus (goat). Its description in RNAcentral is "lncRNA (ENSCHIG00010013411.1)". The record is from RNAcentral. Lineage: Eukaryota; Metazoa; Chordata; Mammalia; Artiodactyla; Bovidae.